CCGAUCCAGGGCAAGCCCAGUGGCACGAAAGCGCCCGUGGUUUCCAGAAGGAAUCCGGCGCAGGCGUGCCCAGCGCUCAAACCCCGAAUAGCAAUAUAUCCCUUUCGUCUCGCGCACCCCCUCCUCCCCUCCCGAUCACCCCGUGCGUCGCCGUGCAUCUUCCCCGUCCGCUCGUCGCGUCGCCGUCCGCUUCCUCCUCCUCGCCGUCUCGGCCGCCAUCCGCCGGCGUCGCGUCCCUACAGACAGACCGGAGAAGGUAGGGUGGUCCGCUGUGAUGGCGCGCGUGUACGUCGGGAGCCUGGACCCUGCUGUGACGGCCCGGGAGCUCGAGGACGAGUUCCGCGUGUUCGGGGUUCUGCGGAGCAGUGUAUGGGUUGCAAGGAAGCCACCUGGUUUUGCAUUUGUUGAUUUUGAUGACAGGAGGGAUGCUCAGGAUGCAAUUAAAGAUUUAGAUGGCAAGAAUGGUUGGAGAGUUGAGCUGUCUCGUAAUGCCAGCAGUGGUCGUGGUGGUCGUGAUCGAUCUGGUGGAUCUGAGAUGAAGUGUUAUGAGUGUGGUGAGUCUGGUCACUUUGCCCGUGAAUGCCGUCUGAGGAUUGGUUCUGGGGGCCUAGGCAGUGGAAGGCGUCGCAGCAGGAGUCGAAGCCGUAGCCGCAGUCGGAGCCCUAGGUACCGCAGGAGUCCAAGCUAUAGCAGAAGAAGCUACAGCCGCUCUCCAAGGCGUCGUAGUGUGUCACCGGCUCGUGGGCGCAAUGUGAGCAGGUCACCAGUCCGUGGACGUGACGAAUCUCCUGCCUAUGGCAAUGGGUAUCGUCGCAGCAGGAGCUAGAGCUGUACGUUAUGUCUGGAGAGUGUUCUGUUGCAAAUAUUGCUCUAUACCCGUCAGCUAUGAACAGUGUCAUGUCCCCCAUUUGAAACAUCCUCCAUCGACUGCUUGAGUUUGGCAUCGUCCUGCACUGCGUAAAAGCGUCGGCUGGCUACGGCUUUCAGUUAUGUCUUCAUGGUUUUGCUCUUCGCUCUUCGUUCAUCCCUCGCCCUCGCCUGCUCCAUGCAAACUUAGUAUUAGUUCCUGCAGACGACCCCUCUGCGUCGCGUGUUCUUCGUUGAAGAUACUGCUCGUCAAAAAGCAGUAACGACCUUUCAUCUUUUGCAAAUUGGUAAGGUUUGAUUGUGCUUAUAAAUGCAGCUUCUGGAAGUAUUAGAAGCGCAAAUUUCUUUGUAGGAUGAGUCUCCAGAAGCUGCAUCUGCUUGCUUCUCUGGGACUGAUGGCAAGGUAUUUAGUUGAAUGGCCUGCACCCUUGCCUCCGAGCCCCAUGCCAGGUGAUGAGGUCAUCUGAGGGGCAAUUAUACCUGGGUAAGUAUUGCAGGAGGUGCAAGCCUGUCUAGACUGCGACGCAGAGUUCGGCAGUUGGCGUCGUUCUGCAUGCUCUUCGUUCUCAACUUAUCCCCGACAUGCUGCCUGAUGUUCUUCUCCACAUUCUGCUUUCUUCACUGCGCAUACGAUUGAGCUCCUUGGUAGCUUAUAUCUUCCAGUCACAUUCUGUUGCUGUUGGAUGCAACAUAUUCGUCAAUAGGUUUAUUCUAAUAAUUUGGUUGAGCCUGCACUUGUGAACCUGAAUUUUCAGAUCCUAGAUUGUUCUGACAUUGAAGUGUCAGACAUGUUAUAUAACCUUGAUCUGCUUUCUGUUCUCAAA
Triticum aestivum (bread wheat) is the source of this 1691-nucleotide RNA transcript. It is a transcript of the gene named serine/arginine-rich splicing factor RSZ21A, with no coding region annotated. The transcript is spliced from 7 exons. NCBI's taxonomy places the organism in Eukaryota, Viridiplantae, Streptophyta, Magnoliopsida, Poales, Poaceae. The record is from RefSeq and is a predicted model, not a curated record.